AGGACGAACGCUGGCGGCGUGCUUAACACAUGCAAGUGGAGCGACGAACCAGGCUUCGGCCUGGGGCAGAGCCGCGAACGGGUGAGUAACACGUGGGUAACCUGCCCUGAUGAUUGGGACAACCCGAGGAAACUCGGGCUAAUACCAAAUGUGCCCUCUGGCCUCAAGGCCUCUGGGGAAAGGAAGCUUCGGCCUCCGCAUUGGGAUGGGCCCGCGGCCCAUUAGCUUGUUGGUGAGGUAACGGCUCACCAAGGCUACGAUGGGUAGCUGGUCUGAGAGGACGAUCAGCCACACUGGGACUGAGACACGGCCCAGACUCCUACGGGAGGCAGCAGUGGGGAAUCUUGCGCAAUGCGCGAAAGCGUGACGCAGCAACGCCGCGUGGGGAAGACGGCCUUCGGUUGUAAACCUCUUUAGUAGGAAGAAGCGAAAGUGACGGUACCUGCAGAAAAGCACCGGCUAACUACGUGCCAGCAGCCGC
Molecule: ribosomal RNA, 481 nt
Filed under: uncultured bacterium
Lineage: Bacteria
Description: SSU rRNA
Rfam family: Bacterial small subunit ribosomal RNA
Source: RNAcentral